Molecule: small nuclear RNA, 106 nt
Organism: Nannospalax galili (Upper Galilee mountains blind mole rat)
Lineage: Eukaryota; Metazoa; Chordata; Mammalia; Rodentia; Spalacidae
Source: Ensembl
GUGCAACUUUGGCAGCACAUAUACUAAAAUUGGAAUGAUACAAAGAAGAUUCGCACAGUCGCUGGGCAAGAAUGACAUGCAAUUUAGUGAAGCUUUCCAUAUUUUU